This is a non-coding RNA of Schistosoma margrebowiei, 45 nucleotides long. The record is from Rfam. Lineage: Eukaryota; Metazoa; Platyhelminthes; Trematoda; Strigeidida; Schistosomatidae.
AUCUAACUAACAAGUCCCAAAUAGAGCGAAACGAGCGUCCUGGAU